UAGAAUCUGUAGGGCAUGGAGACUGCUCUGUGGCACAACUAGAGAAGGAGAGAUGUGGGGGACAGUUGGAAGAGUGGUAAAGCAGUAGAGGCAGAAUGCUCAUUUUGGUAAUCAAGGAGCACCAAAACAUAACAAAUGAAUUCUCCCCGAUACCUCCUAAGGAUGAUGACUUAGCACUCACUUUCUCUAGAAGUAAUGGCUACAGAGUUGAAGAGGGGCAGAUAAUCCAGGAUCUUCCCAGAAGAGACAUUCCCACAGCAGGCAGGUUGUUGGUGGUACGGUGGGAACAAGUACUCGGGCCAAGGAGAAUCAAGAUAAAGACUACCUCUCCCACUUGUUAGUAAGCUUUCCAGGCUCUUGUUCUUUCCUCCACAAGAUUUUGGAGAUCCAGAAAAGGAAAAGACAUGAUAAGAGAAGAUGCAUCCUGAACAACUUUUAUUAUGAAGAAGCUGAGGCUCUGACAAGUGCAGUUACUUUCACGAGGUGCACAGUUAAGAGGCAGCACUGCUGUGCUUCAUACUGACAGUGCUUGAUCUCUUCUCUUUUACAUUCUCCAUCCCCAGACACUUAACAUCUUUGGCUGGAUUUUCUAGGAGUUUCUUUGGGAUAUGCCAUUAGGUUUGUGAACAAAAUAAGUAUAAAAAUAAUUAUAAAUAUAUAUAUAUAUAUGCAUGUAUGUUGAAUCAGCUAA
This 691-nucleotide long non-coding RNA is filed under the name Heterocephalus glaber (naked mole-rat). Its description in RNAcentral is "lncRNA (ENSHGLG00100050388.1)". Lineage: Eukaryota; Metazoa; Chordata; Mammalia; Rodentia; Bathyergidae. The record is from RNAcentral.